UAGUCAACGAAACACAUGAUGACCGGC
RNAcentral lists this non-coding RNA (27 nucleotides) under Bombyx mori (domestic silkworm). The record is from RNAcentral. Lineage: Eukaryota; Metazoa; Arthropoda; Insecta; Lepidoptera; Bombycidae.